GGGCGAUUAGCUCAGUUGGUAGAGCACACGGAUCACACCCGUGGAGUCACAGGUUCGAGUCCUGUAUCGCCCA
Molecule: transfer RNA, 73 nt
Filed under: Planctomycetota bacterium
Lineage: Bacteria; Pseudomonadati; Planctomycetota
Description: Planctomycetes bacterium (marine metagenome) tRNA-Val
Rfam family: tRNA
About the family: Transfer RNA (tRNA) molecules are approximately 80 nucleotides in length. Their secondary structure includes four short double-helical elements and three loops (D, anti-codon, and T loops). Further hydrogen bonds mediate the characteristic L-shaped molecular structure. tRNAs have two regions of fundamental functional importance: the anti-codon, which is responsible for specific mRNA codon recognition, and the 3' end, to which the tRNAs corresponding amino acid is attached (by aminoacyl-tRNA synthetases). tRNAs cope with the degeneracy of the genetic code in two manners: having more than one tRNA (with a specific anti-codon) for a particular amino acid; and 'wobble' base-pairing, i.e. permitting non-standard base-pairing at the 3rd anti-codon position.
Source: RNAcentral